This is a small nuclear RNA of Nyctereutes procyonoides (raccoon dog), 136 nucleotides long. RefSeq annotates it as U4 spliceosomal RNA. The transcript has a single exon. The record is from RefSeq and is a predicted model, not a curated record. Lineage: Eukaryota; Metazoa; Chordata; Mammalia; Carnivora; Canidae.
AGCUGCACAGUGGCAGUAUCGUAGCCAAUGAGGUUUAUCCGAGGCAUGAUUAUUGCUAAUAGAAAUUAAUAACAGAAGGAGCACCUGGCUCAGUCACUUAAGCAUCUGACUCUUGAUUUCAGCUCAGGUCAUGAUC